This 398-nucleotide ribosomal RNA is filed under the name uncultured bacterium. RNAcentral describes it as "partial 16S ribosomal RNA". It matches the Rfam family "Bacterial small subunit ribosomal RNA", at positions 523 to 918 of the family's 1533-position model. The record is from RNAcentral.
AUACGUAGGGUGCGAGCGUUGUCCGGAAUUACUGGGCGUAAAGAGCUCAUAGGUGGUUUGUCGCGUCGUCUGUGAAAUUCCGGGGCUUAACUCCGGGCGUGCAGGCGAUACGGGCAUAACUUGAGUACUGUAGGGGAGACUGGAAUUCCUGGUGUAGCGGUGAAAUGCGCAGAUAUCAGGAGGAACACCGGGGGCGAAGGCGGGUCCCGGGGCAGUAACUGACGCUGAGUAGCGAAAGCAUGGGUAGCGAACAGGAUUAGAUACCCUGGUAGUCCAUGCCGUAAACGGUGGGCGCUAGGUGUAGGGGUCUUCCACGACUUCUGUGCCGUAGCUAACGCAUUAAGCGCCCCGCCUGGGGAGUACGGCCGCAAGGCUAAAACUCAAAUGAAUUGACGGGG